CGAACUGCUCAGUAACACGUGGAUAACCUGCCCUUAGGUUUGGCAUAACUCCGGGAAACUGGAGAUAAUUCCGAAUAAACCAUUGAUGCUGGAAUGCUUUUUGGUUCAAAGGCUUCGGCUGCCUAAGGAUGGAUCUGCGGUCUAUCAGGUAGUAGUGGGUGUAACGUACCUACUAGCCUACGACGGAUACGGGUUGUGAGAGCAAGAGCCCGGAGAUGGAUUCUGAGACAUGAAUCCAGGCCCUACGGGGCGCAGCAGGCGCGAAAUCUUUACAAUGCAGGAAACUGCGAUAAGGGGACCCCGAGUGCCAGCAUCUUAUGUUGGCUGUCCACCUGUGUAAAUAGCAUGUGUUAGCAAGGGCCGGGCAAGACCGGUGCCAGCCGCCGCGGUAACACCGGCGGCCCGAGUGGUAAUCACUUUUAUUGGGUCUAAAGGGUCCGUAGCCGGUUUGAUCAGUUCCUUGGGAAAUCUGACGGCUCAACUGUUAGACUUCCGGGAAAUACUGACAGACUUGGGACCGGUAGAGGUGGGAGGUACUCCAGGGGUAGGAGUGAAAUCUUGUAAUUCCUGUGGGACCAUCAAUGGCGAAGGCGUCUUACUAGAACGGGUCCGACGGUGAGGGACGAAAGCUGGGGGCACGAACCGGAUUAGAUACCCGGGUAGUCCCAGCCGUAAACGAUGCUCGCUAGGUGUCAGGCACGGUGCGACCGUUUCUGGUGCCGCAGGGAAGCCCUGAAGCGAACCACCUGGGAAGUACGGUCGCAAGGCUGAAACUUAAAGGAAUUGGCGGGGGAGCACUACAACGGGUGGAGCCUGCGGUUCAAUUGGA
RNAcentral lists this ribosomal RNA (829 nucleotides) under uncultured archaeon. RNAcentral describes it as "bacterial SSU rRNA". It matches the Rfam family "Archaeal small subunit ribosomal RNA", at positions 82 to 910 of the family's 1478-position model. The record is from RNAcentral.